This 497-nucleotide ribosomal RNA is filed under the name uncultured bacterium. Its description in RNAcentral is "partial 16S ribosomal RNA". It matches the Rfam family "Bacterial small subunit ribosomal RNA", at positions 28 to 507 of the family's 1533-position model. The record is from RNAcentral.
GAUGAACGCUGGCGGCGUGCCUAAUACAUGCAAGUCGAGCGAACAGAUAAGGAGCUUGCUCCUUUGAAGUUAGCGGCGGACGGGUGAGUAACACGUGGGUAACCUACCUAUAAGACUGGGAUAACUUCGGGAAACCGGAGCUAAUACCGGAUAACAUUUAGAACCGCAUGGUUCUAAAGUGAAAGAUGGUUUUGCUAUCACUUAUAGAUGGACCCGCGCCGUAUUAGCUAGUUGGUAAGGUAACGGCUUACCAAGGCGACGAUACGUAGCCGACCUGAGAGGGUGAUCGGCCACACUGGAACUGAGACACGGUCCAGACUCCUACGGGAGGCAGCAGUAGGGAAUCUUCCGCAAUGGGCGAAAGCCUGACGGAGCAACGCCGCGUGAGUGAUGAAGGGUUUCGGCUCGUAAAACUCUGUUAUUAGGGAAGAACAAAUGUGUAAGUAACUGUGCACAUCUUGACGGCACCUAAUCAGAAAGCCACGGCUAACUACGUG